Molecule: long non-coding RNA, 7960 nt
Filed under: Ananas comosus (pineapple)
Lineage: Eukaryota; Viridiplantae; Streptophyta; Magnoliopsida; Poales; Bromeliaceae
Description: long non-coding RNA (ACOM_LNC001845)
Source: RNAcentral
UGCAUGUAUACUUACCGUUCCUUCUUUAUAGUUGUCUUGCUACUAUAGUUUUGUUGCAUGUAUACAUUCAGUUGUUCAUUACAGUAGCGGUAGUUGUACUUUCAUUUAUAUAUAUGUCUCUUUCGUUCAUUAUUAUUGCUACUGUAUUUUCACUGACCCGUACUGUUGUUUAGCUCUUCCUGAUCCGGUGAGUACUCCUCGCCUUCAUCGGCUUGCGGUACCCACUGGGAGGGGAGACAUGUUUACAUGUUCUCACCUCCCCCACUAUUUUUCAGGUAUCACGGGCGAUGAGGAUUGAGAUGAGACGUGAGAUACGUACGUAGCGGUCGAUAGAGCUUCCGACCCAGGUUAUUCGGUUUAGUUUCUACCCUUACUAUUCUGUUGAUAUAGCUUAGAUAGUUUAUAUGGUUCAGUAUUUUUAUUACAUUUGAAAAUGUAGGUUUUCAUGAAUGUAAUAAAUGGAUUUGUGGAUUUUGUGAAAUGAAAAAUAGUUUUCUACCCCGUAAAUAAAAGGUUUUCUACCCCUCGUGGUAGCGCGUUUUAAAAGAAAAAAAUUUUCGUGUGGGAAACAGCUUUCAAAAGGUUUUUCGUAAUUUUCAUAACUUAGUAUUUCAAAACCCGUUUCUGAGUUGGAAACGUUUUAACUGAUAGUUGUGAUUUUAUGUUCAAAUCAUGAAUGUGAACCUGUGGUGAAUGGUGUAUGGAUAUAUAUAUAGAUGUUGGAUGUCUGUAUAUUUAGUGUAGUGGUCGUAUCCUGGUUUGUACUUGUACUUGUGCGACGCCGUGCAAAUACAGAGGAGACUCUGUCCGUGUGAACAGUGGACUCCCUGUAUUUGUGGCGGAUCUGGCAUACCCCGUGGUCAGGUUUUUUUUAAAAAAAAAAAAUUUCGCUGCGUUUUAACCUAAAAGGGAUCUCGGGGCGUGACAUAUUUAGUGUUUGUUCGGCACUAGUUAUCGUUUCUAGUAGAGAGUUUGGUAGAUAAGUACCGGCUAGUUUAGAGCAUACUCAUUGAGGGUACUCAAUUAGUCAAGUACUCAAAUGAAAAAUUCUUUGAGGGCUUGCUUUGCAGACUACCACUCAUAGAGUUGCUGUUAGAGGAGAGAAGUUUUACUCCAAAGCAAUUCCUCAAACAAUAGUGUAAUGGGUUGGGAAUGGCCUAUAUAUUAUGCGCUAUGAGGAUUUUCUUUUAUGAUUGCGAGGUUUUCGCUCCUUAUGAUUUGGUUUGAUAGUAUAUUUUACUUACGAGGUGAUUUUGCCUUAUUUUGAGACCAUAAUACUCGCCAUCAUCAAAAUACUACAAGCUUCUCGAGUGCGUGGAAGAGAUGUGUUUGGCAAGAUAUUUGUGCAUCUCACUUUAUGUAGCAGUUUCGUGUAAAUUCUACAGCUUCAGCAUGUUAUCAACUGUGCUUUUCUUUAUAUAGUUUUGAGUACUUUUUAUAUCUUAACGACUUUGUGUUUAAGAUAGACAUGUGAUAAAUCUGGUGACAUUUAUGUCUUUGAGCCUUUGCUACCACUUUCAUAUUUGCAUGUAGACAAAGAUCCAAGCACUGUAAUGAGUUCAUCAGCUAAUCUUGUCCGAAAUAAGAUUAUAAUUAUUCUUUAAAAAAAUUUUGUUACUAGGAAUAGGAUACCAUAUUGAAAUUUAAUCUAAAGCUGUAAAAAGCAAUACAGGAAAACUUCAUUGUUAUGUAAGAUAAGUCAAUAUUUACAUUUCUUCCUUGUUUGUCUGUUUUCUUUUCAUACUAUUUUUUUAUGGAUAUUUUGAGAAACAACUCAUGUUCUCCUAAAUACAGGAUUUUAUCUGCUAGCCAAAGUGGAAGAAGCUGCAGGUAAACCAAUUUACAAAUGGACUCAUCACAUUGUCAGUGUGGCAUACCCUUAAGCAUCUGUGCGCUGCAAUGGUUCCUAUUGUCUUGACGCUUAUGCUUGCAAAGAGGACUAUGAUUUUUUUCCUUCUAUUUUUCUCUAUACAGUUACCCCUAUACAAAUGGGCUUUACAUUCCAUUCCCUAGAAUUUCUAUUAGGUGAAAAGAUAUACUGAUCCCCUUAACUACACAUUAUUUUGAAUAAGACCUACAACAAUUUGUUGAUCGAUAAGCCCUGCAACUUUUGCUCAUAUCUGUCAUUUUUGUUUGUUGAACUAGGCAUUGCUUCAAAAUAAUGCCUGCCUUAACUCUCAGUGUAAGGACUGAGAUUUUUUGACAGUGCAACUAAACUCUCUGUUGAUGAUGUUUAUGUGUGUAAUUUAAUUACAUAAGCACUCGUCAAGUUUCAGGAGAAACUGAGCUAAAAUGGAGAAGAUACGCGAUUUUUAGUUUUCACUUAAGUGAAUAGUAACUCCGGUUUUCCGGAGAAGCCACGGAGUAGAGUUGGCUUCUGGUGCGUAUCGGACUCCGUUCAUAUCAGUCCAAUAGCUCGUUUCGACCGGUUCAGUUGUUCUGGAACUACUGGCGUUGACGGAUUUUGAGUUUGAUGCACGGAUUUCGAGAAAAUCCAAAAAUACAUGUUUUAUAUGUAUUUNNNNNNNNNNNNNNNNNNNNNNNNNCGGGCUUGGUUGGUUUCCACCGUCGCCGCCGCCAUUUCAACCGGCAUCAGGUGAACCUCGUAAUUCUCACCUCUGCUCCCGGGCCACACCGCAUCGCCUCGAGCCCUCUACGAUUGGAAGCGCGCGCCGCCGUCGCCGCGGAAGCCAAUAACGUUCUAGAAAAGUGGUCUUUUUUCGCCGGGGGAGACAAGCGUAAAAGCUAACUCCACCUGGCUUAUAAGCCUGUGUCCAAUUAGGGCUUGCCCUAAUUUUUUGUGAAUUGGGUACUAAUCCGAGGCUUCCUGGAGUUCCUUUUUCUCGGAUCUACUUACUGAAGGGACACGAUGUGACGUAUGCAAAUUUGAUCAUUAGUUGCUACUCCAUCCUUGUUUUUUUAUAUUCUGGAAAGGUUACUUUCCUACACCUUUUCCAGCGUUUCCUAUGUGUAUCGUUUAAUUUAAGGUGAGAUAGUCUCGCACCAACCGAGUUGUUGAAGCCUUUGCCAUUUUGGAUAACGGCACAUCGUGUUUCUGGUUUCAGUGUGUUAAACUUUUUGCACGUUAAUUCCAAUAUUUAAGGCAUUCGGUCAUCAGCCGACCCAAAACCGUGCUUUCUGUUACAAUCGGUCAAUCCAGUGGUGUAGUCGCAGUAUGUUUCCGACGUUAUACCGAAUAAGAAGGUCCUUUUUGACCGAUUUCUGCCUCCGGAGGCUGGAAGUACCCCGGGUGAUCGUUCGAUCAGUGCUGAUAACUCAGUGCUCACCUUACUUUGGAUCAAACAGAGUACCGGAUUAAGAUUCCUGUUCGACACGAUUUCCCAUUGCGCGCUGUUCGCAGAACCUAUUCGAAUUGCUCCGGCGCUCCAUAGUGAGCCGUUGCGCUUCGGACCUUGAGCACGGCCUCCGGGAUGUCUCUAUCAGCGAAUCGCUUGAUCAGUCGCAGGGCGCAAACGGGUACUAAUAUGCGCGAUACCCUACAAACGUUACGCCUCAGCUCCCAUCACCUGGAACUGAAGCUAAGAGAAUCAUGCGAAUAUCCCAAUUUUGUCACAAAGAGUACGUAAAACAUUUAAUUUCGCGUACUGAACCGAUAUUAGUCUAUAAAAUGAUUAGGAUUUUACGUAAAUGAGGACUUUAUUGCAUGCACCUUGUGGUACCUGUGGCCAGAACGCGUUGGUGGCAGUGUGGGGACUUAGUGAAUUGACUGUCCAAUAUAGCGAAGCCUAUGUUACGGUUUUUGCUCGGAAAUUGAAAACGCUCUAGAGAUUUUCGUGCCGCUUGCGUUUUUCGGGCGAAAUUCGCCGAAAGACGCGGAGGAUAUCUCAGUUGAUUUCUUAUCAUCCGACAUGGUUUGGUUUCCUUAUAGAAUUUAGUUGUUGUUAGCCUUGGAUUGGAUGGUGUCACCAGUCAUGAUUUUGUACGGGUUCCACGAUGCGACCAACGGUUUGCCAGUGAAAUAGGCCUGCCGUGAGCUACGGUGGAGCUACGGUGUUUGGAUCACUCUGUGUGUCGAAAUAGGCUCUAUAUCACGAGACCCGGGAUCCUAAUUGGCUCAAGCGCCCGUAUCAAUAUUAAUUGACCAGUCUUAGCAAGUACUAGACCAAUGUAUAGAAAUAGGCGACAAUACAUUGUUUUGAGUUAUAGGUUCCAUCUCGUGUUUGCUGUCCAAGACAUCCAUAAUUGGAGUGUUUAAUACUGGCAACAAUCGUCCGGCCUAACAAGGAAAUGCUGGGCCACCGGCGGAUGACUCGCUAGCACAGAACGGGGCCCGGUGUUCAUGGGUACAAAAAUUUUCGGGACCUUUUAAUGAACCUGCGUUACCACCGCACGGAUCCCGGUUCGCUGGAUAAAUGGCCUUGGUCGUGAAGCUCGUACACCUCCGGAGGUUAGCUUAUAUUAACCAUGCGUAUGGGAACGUUUUUCUGUACACGGUGGCAUAUGACAGGUUUGUUUGUGAGUGGUAGCUGGAUUUCCAGUGAAAGUUAAUUCACGUUGUGCGGUUAGACACAUAAGCGCGGUGGACUUUCCUUAGCGUCCGUGUGACAUCCUUUUGCAGUCAGAAACAGGCGCGACAUUCGUACAGGUGCGGUACUUCGAUCGACGUCAGUUUAUAGUCGUGCCGCUCGGUGAUGGUUUCUUACCAAUUACUCUGCUGUGUUACUAUUGCAUAGUAUUAAUAUGAGCCUGCACCCAUGUAUUCUAUUAUACUCGACUCCGUUCUUUUGCAAUGCCUUAGUGUUCAGAGUUAGGAGUUAGAGUAGUAGUUCUAUCUAUAUUGCAUAUCUGUUUACUGGUGGUCGGUUGGUGCAUUCCGUAUCUGCUUGACCUGUGGUCGGUUGUUGCAUCCGUAUCUGUUGACCUGGGCAAUUGCCGUCAGUGUUCCUAUUCUCGCUAAUUCUAGUCAAUGCGAAUCGCAGAACCGUAUUUGUGUCGAGGAUUAGGAGCUCUUCGUGGACUUGGGUCCGAGGCCAAACACGAUCAACUUUACAUACCUCAUCAUAAUGUCUUCGAUGCUAAGUAGCCUUUUGAUCGUGCGGUGUCGGCGUUUACAUCGUCCACGCCCUCUCACUGGCUGUCGGUCGCUAGGAGAUCCGGCAUCGGCUUUUUGUCGGUUUUUGUUUGAGCACUUAUCACACAGACUAUUGAGGACUGUCUUAGUGCAUUUUAGAGCAGUUGGGAGUAUCACAAGCCACCGAGGUCGGUCUUUGGGACAACUCACUGAAACGCGGGUUAACCUAUGUGCAGAUCAACUGUCAGAACUUCUGUACUUAUCCAGCCGGGAAGCUGUAGACGCGAGCUACGCCUGGGGGGGCGGCGUGAAUCAGGUCGGUCAAGUUAGUGACAGCCGCCCGCGCUUGAGGGUCUGAAACCCCAGGUUCUUUACAUCGCGGACCAAUAUACAGGGUGGAGCCAGAUUGGAUUAUAUAUCGAAACUAUAUUCGUAUAGUGAUUCGGUUGACGUUCACCGAUUCUAAAAAUUGAAAGAUAAUGAGUAAGCUCGCAGUGUUGCAUCGUCAUACAUAUACCUGUAUCACUAUUCUCCAGGAUGUAUAGUUAUUUGUUUGCAUGUAGACAUUCAGUGCUGUUUAUCUACAUUAGCGUAGUUUGUACUUUCAUUAUAUAUAGCUGCUUUCGUCAUUUUAUUGCUACUGUAUUUUCACUGAACGCCGUACUGCUUGUUUAAAGCUCUUCCUGAUUCCGGUGAGUAUCCUCGCUUCUUCGGCUGCUCACGUACCCACUGGGUGGGCGAGACAUGUUUACAUGUUCUCAUCGUCCCGCCCACUAUAUUUUUCAGGUAUCAGUACGGCGCAUGAGCGAUUGAGAUGAGGACGUGAGAUACGUAACGUAGCGGUCGAUAGAUGCUUCCGACCAGGGUUAUUACCAGGUUAUCAGUUUCUUACCCUAUAUUCUGUUGAUACAGCUUAUUAUAGUUUAUAUGGUUCCAGUAUAUUUACAUUUGAUAAAUAGUUUUCUAUGUAAUGUAAUAAAAUGGAUUUGUGGAUUUUGUGAAUUGAAAAAUAGUUUUUCUACCCCUCGUGGGUAGCGCGUUUUAAAAGAAAAAAUUUCGUGCUGUCAGGACCUGUCGUGAUAGAUCUCUACCCUGAAAUAGGACUACAGAACAAUCCUUUCAUCCGGGACAGCAGCUCUUCAAAGGUUUUUCGUAUUUUACAAUUAAACUUAGUAUUUCAAAAACCCGUUUUGAGUUGGACAACGUGUAUUAACUGGAUAGUUUGAUUUUUAUGUUCAAGCAUUAAAUGAAUGUUUGAACUUCUAUGUUGAAAUGAGACCGAAACACCUGCGGGAAUAUCGGUGUAAUGAGAAUAUAUAUUAUAGAUCGUUGGGCAUGUCCUGUAUAUUUAGUGUAGUUGGUGCGUUAUCCUGGUUUGCUACUUGUACUUGUGCGACGCCGUGCAAAUACAGAGGAGACUCUGUCCGGGUGUUGGUGGUUUACGGACCAAUGCGAGAGUGCUUGGCAAGAUCCGUUCUUAAACUGUAUUAUUUAAUACCUGUUAAUCAAAACAGCUUUACUUAGUAUAUACGAUUUAGCCGUAAUUCCUGUCUGGGAUGGGAUAACUAAGAAUUAGAAAAAAAUUAUCAUUAAACAAUUUUAUUAGAUCCCAGGUGACAGUGGCACUUCACCUGUAUUUAAGGGCGGAUUCUUGCAUACCGCCGGUGGCGCUCAAGGUUUUUUUUGUAAUAAUCAAAAAUUUCUGAGCUGCUUCUUUAACCUAUAUAAAGAAGACGAUCGUCCGCGAGGCAGAAGUGACAUAUUUGUGUUUAGUUCGCACUAUUUAUCAGUUUCUGUAGUAGAGAGUGGUAGAUAAGUACGGCUAGUUUAAGCAGUUUGAAGCUACAUCUGGGAGUUGAAAGAAGUUAAUUCUUAAAGAUUUCCAGAUUUCUAAAAGACCGUACUUCGAAAUGCAAAAUUUCUGGAGGGGCCCUUGCUUUGCAGGUUGAGUUUUUACAUCUCAGGUAGUAGUGCUUUAGAGAGGAAGUUUUACUCCAAAGCAAUUCCUCAAACCACUAGUAUAAUGGGUGGGAAUGGCCUAUAUAUUAUGCGCUAUGCAGGAUUUUCUUUUAUGAUGCGAGGUUUUCGCUCCUAUGAUUUGUUCGUGUUUUGAUAGUACUAUUUAAGGCUUACGAUAUGCGGUGAUUUUGCUCUUAUUUUUGAGACCAUGAAUACUCGGCCAUCAUUUCAAUUUACUACAUAGUUCUCGUAUCUAGAGAUCGCUUGCCCAAUGGAUAAGGAUGUGGUUGAGCAAAGAUAUGUUGAUGCUGCUCAUCUGUUUGUAGCAGAUUUCGUUGUAAAUUUUCAUAAGCUUCAGCAUUAGUUUAGUCAUACUGUUGCUACUUGCAUUCAUUAAUAAUAUAUUUGGAUCAUUAUAGUACUUUUAUAUCUUAACGACUUUGGUUUAAGAUCAGACAUGUGAUAAAUCUGAGUGACACUUUUUGAUGUCUAAACUGUGAAAUCCAAAUAUUUUUCCAAACUUUUUUUUGAUUGUCGUGGGCUACCAUUUGCAUACUUUGAUGAGACAACAGAUCAACACUGUAAUGAGGUUCAUCAGCUAAUCUUUCCGAAAGUAAGAAUGUUUUCAGGUAAUUAUUCGUUUAAAUAAAUUUUUUGUCUUAAUUUUUGUUAUAGGAAUAGGAUAGCCACUAUUGAAAUUGAUCUAAAGCUGUAGAAAGCAAUACAAAUGUUCCGCAGAAAUUCAUAUGAUAUAAAAUGUAAGAUAAGUCAAGUGAAUUUAACAAUCUAUCUUCCUUAUUUUGGUAAAAGAUCGGCCCCAGUAUUGCUCGUGUGUUUUCUCUUUCAUUACGGUAUUUUUUUAUGUGAUUAUGUUGAGAAAUCAACUCAUAGUUCUCCUAAAUACAGGAUUUUAUUGCCUAGCCAAAGUGGGAAGAAGCUGCAGUUAAACCAAUUUACAAAUGGACUCAU